RNAcentral lists this ribosomal RNA (253 nucleotides) under uncultured bacterium. RNAcentral describes it as "partial 16S ribosomal RNA". It matches the Rfam family "Bacterial small subunit ribosomal RNA", at positions 524 to 776 of the family's 1533-position model. The record is from RNAcentral.
UACAGAGGGGGCGAGCGUUGUUCGGAAUUACUGGGCGUAAAGGGCGCGUAGGCGGUGUGUUAAGUCAGGCGUGAAAGCCCCGGGCUCAACCUGGGAACCGCGCUUGAGACUGGCACGCUCGAGUUCGGGAGAGGAUGGUGGAAUUCCCAGUGUAGAGGUGAAAUUCGUAGAUAUUGGGAAGAACACCGAUGGCGAAGGCAGCAAUCUGGACCGACACUGACGCUGAGGCGCGAAAGCGUGGGGAGCAAACAGG